CAGUUGGUCGUUAGGUGCAUCUAGUGUCUGCAGCACACAGUGUGACAGUAAGCACACCAUCCCAAACAUGAGCUUCUUGAGACUCUAUAACAAGCAAACAAUGAGAAAAGAGUAUGUAGUCCAAAGAGGCAGGCAUCAUACUGUAUGACUUGACAGACAGGGCUGCAAGCAGAAGGGCUACCAAGGAGACUGCAAGGCUGAGUCUCCUCUGCAUUCUAAUUUUAGCAUGCUGGGGUUCUGAAAGAUCACUAUUAUUUCAGAUUCCUGACAGAUUAAUAAUAGCCUGUACAGCUACCAGUUAGUGCUGAAACAAUGGGGAGAAAGCAUAUCCGACUCCUUACCUAACCCGUUUUUUUCUUUAUUUGCUUUUCAUGUC
Long non-coding RNA from Thalassophryne amazonica, 376 nucleotides. RefSeq lists it as uncharacterized. The transcript is spliced from 3 exons. The record is from RefSeq and is a predicted model, not a curated record. NCBI's taxonomy places the organism in Eukaryota, Metazoa, Chordata, Actinopteri, Batrachoidiformes, Batrachoididae.